This 253-nucleotide ribosomal RNA is filed under the name uncultured bacterium. RNAcentral describes it as "partial 16S ribosomal RNA". It matches the Rfam family "Bacterial small subunit ribosomal RNA", at positions 524 to 776 of the family's 1533-position model. The record is from RNAcentral.
UACGUAGGGGGCAAGCGUUGUCCGGAGUUAUUGGGCGUAAAGCGCGCGCAGGCGGCCUCGCGCGCCCGACGUGAAAGCCCCCGGCUUAACCGGGGAGGGUCGUUGGGGACGGCGGGGCUUGAGGGCGGGAGAGGGUGGUGGAAUUCCCGGUGUAGUGGUGAAAUGCGUAGAGAUCGGGAGGAACACCCGUGGCGAAGGCGGCCACCUGGGCCGACCCUGACGCUGAGGCGCGAAGGCGUGGGGAGCGAACGGG